RNAcentral lists this transfer RNA (74 nucleotides) under uncultured archaeon. RNAcentral describes it as "tRNA-Arg(tcg)". It matches the Rfam family "tRNA". Rfam says of the family: Transfer RNA (tRNA) molecules are approximately 80 nucleotides in length. Their secondary structure includes four short double-helical elements and three loops (D, anti-codon, and T loops). Further hydrogen bonds mediate the characteristic L-shaped molecular structure. tRNAs have two regions of fundamental functional importance: the anti-codon, which is responsible for specific mRNA codon recognition, and the 3' end, to which the tRNAs corresponding amino acid is attached (by aminoacyl-tRNA synthetases). tRNAs cope with the degeneracy of the genetic code in two manners: having more than one tRNA (with a specific anti-codon) for a particular amino acid; and 'wobble' base-pairing, i.e. permitting non-standard base-pairing at the 3rd anti-codon position. The record is from RNAcentral.
UGGACCCAUAGUUUAAUGGAUAGAAUGCUAGGUUUCGGCCCUGGCGAUGGGGGUUCGAUUCCUCCUGGGUCCGU